RNAcentral lists this ribosomal RNA (356 nucleotides) under Sphaeridium bipustulatum. Its description in RNAcentral is "partial 12S ribosomal RNA". The record is from RNAcentral. Lineage: Eukaryota; Metazoa; Arthropoda; Insecta; Coleoptera; Hydrophilidae.
CAUAUUUUAGAGCUAAAAUCAUAAUAGUAAACUAAUUAUCAUUACUUUCAAAUCCACCUUCAUUAUAAAUUUCAAUUAUAAUUCCGUAAAUAAAUAUUAUUUAUUGUAACCCAUCUCAUCCUUAUUUAUUUGCUGCACCUUGAUCUGAUUUAAUUAAUAAUUAUUAAUAAUGAACAUUUAAAUUCUUUUAGAACAUUCAACUACGACGAUAUACAAACUAAUUAAAACAAGUACAAUCCCUCGUGGACCAUCGAUUAUAGGACAGGUUCCUCUGAAAAGACUAAAAUACCGCCAAAUUUUUUAGCUUUAAAGAACAUAACUAAUACUAACUAAGUUUUUAUUAUUUAACAUUUCAA